CUUUUUCUCUCUCUUUUUUCCUCAGUCCCUCUAAAAAAAAUUUCCUGUUGCAGAUCUAUACGAAGAUGAAAACUGAUUUUGAAGUUUUUUGUUUUCCAGGUUGUAGAUCUAUAUGAAGAUGAUAAAAAUGAUUUUAAAGUGUAAGUAACAACAUAUAAGUUUUCUCUGUUCCAUAAUUUUCACUUCUUUUAUUUUUACAUGUUGUAGAUCUAUCAAAACAAAGACGAAUUCGGGUACUAAAACAACAACGACAAUAUGUGUGACAAUAUAAAUUAUGGUUCUACAUCUUCUGAUAGGAAAACAAAAAGUUAAACAUAUGGACAAUUUCUUAACAUUUUUUUUUCACUUCUUUUUAUUUUUAUUAAUUUUUCUCUCUUCUUUUUAGAAUUUGUCAUAUAUUUUUAAAAUUUUAUAAUUAUGAAGUAGUGUAUCUAUUUUUGUAAUGUUUCUAAAUAUUUAAAUUGAAAAAAAAACUAUUAUUUAUUUUAAUUUAAUAUUUUUUAUCAUCAUUAUUAUAAUUAUUGUUGAUAUUAUUGGCAUCAUCAUUAGAAAAAAUCAAAAUAAUAAUUUUAUUUUUCUCAAAGAGAUUGAAGUUAGAUAAAAAAAUUUAUAUAAGAAGAAGAAAAGAAAAUUUAU
This is a long non-coding RNA of Vicia villosa (hairy vetch), 636 nucleotides long. RefSeq lists it as uncharacterized. The record is from RefSeq and is a predicted model, not a curated record. The transcript has 3 exons. Lineage: Eukaryota; Viridiplantae; Streptophyta; Magnoliopsida; Fabales; Fabaceae.